This 314-nucleotide ribosomal RNA is filed under the name uncultured bacterium. RNAcentral's name for it is "bacterial SSU rRNA". It matches the Rfam family "Bacterial small subunit ribosomal RNA", at positions 28 to 334 of the family's 1533-position model. The record is from RNAcentral.
GAUGAACGCUGGCGGCGUGCUUAACACAUGCAAGUCGAGGGGCAUCAUGGCGGUCGCUUGCGACCGCUGAUGGCGACCGGCGCACGGGUGCGUAACGCGUAUCGAACCUGCCGCAUACCCGGGGAUAGCCUUGCGAAAGCAAGAUUAAUACCCGAUGUUCUCACUGUUCCGCAUGUUACGGUGAGCAAAGAAUUUCGGUAUGCGAUGGCGAUGCGUCCCAUUAGCUAGUUGGCGGGGUAACGGCCCACCAAGGCUCCGAUGGGUAGGGGUUCUGAGAGGAAGGUCCCCCACACUGGAACUGAGACACGGUCCAG